Molecule: long non-coding RNA, 1076 nt
Organism: Brassica oleracea var. oleracea
Lineage: Eukaryota; Viridiplantae; Streptophyta; Magnoliopsida; Brassicales; Brassicaceae
Exons: 5
Source: RefSeq, a predicted model, not a curated record
UUGCACCUGCGAUCUGAACGAUGAAAUUCCAGGGACUUCAAGCGCAGUUUCGAUCUUCGUAACGUUUCAACCAUCGAUAAAUAUGUUCUUUAAUGGCGACAAUAAAAUCUCCCCACUUUGUGCUCUUAUUUAAGUUUCCGUUGAUUCUGAAUCAACCAUAGACACUAUAUAUCUAGAUCGUCCAUAAUCAAAAGCUACAUCUCAUGGUCAUGGCUUCUUCAAAAUCUUAGAUUACUCAAUAUCUCAAAUAUACGUUUCCAAAUUGGAGAUAUCUCAAGUCCUCCCUUUCAGAGUUGCCCGCGAUGGCAACUAUCCAAAUUGACAGUGUGUUUGAUUGCGUCAAAAGUCAGACUCGAUGAAAAAAUUAUUGAUAACGGGUGUGAAGCCAAAAGUCAUCAUUGCAAGUUUGCAACCUACACUAAUCCUAAAUUAGUUGGAGGUUGUCUAUUACCCAGUGUAAUCUCCAGAACACACUCCUACUUUGAUAUGAAAGCCUGGUCAGCCAGAGUUACCUUAACAAGUAAGAGGCUUCAAACUAGAGAUUUUGGAAUAAUUUUCAUCUCCACUACUCACCGCAGGUCUUGUGGAAGUGGCGUAAGUUGCUCCUAAAAUUCUUCCAAAUAUGGAGCUGUGUUUUGAAUGUCACUUGCUCUACUCUAAUCAGUAUGCAACUAUAACACCACAGACCGUGGAGUCCCUCUGCACUCCCAAGUUGGUGGCAUUGAGACUACUAACAGAUGGUGCUACAUAUCAUGUUCUAAUUGCUCACAAAAACUACAAUGCAGAUUCACAUCUGCAGGGUGCCGUUACGAGAAUGCUGUUGGGUUGUUUACCUGAAUUACCAUCACUGUGAAACCUCUCAUGAGGUGGACAGAAGAGGUGCAGAGAACACAACAGGUUGCCUUGAAGCAACAAUUGAUGAAGGAAGCACAAUGGACUCAACACCACUACCUUGUCAAACGGAGACAGUGGUAAGCAUUGACAGCAAAGCAAGUGGUGUCACGCGGAAACAGCGACAAUGCAGCAAGAGUAUUAGCUAAUCAUCAUCAUCAAGUGAAAUAAGGGUUUGGGCAUGC